GGCGGCACGCCUAACACAUGCAAGUCGAACGAAGUAGCAAUACUUAGUGGCAGACGGGUGAGUAACAUGUAGGUAUCUGCCCUUUGGCCUGGAAUAACACGAGGAAACUUGUGCUAAUACCGGAUAAGUCUUUACGGAGAAAGCUUUAUGCACCAUUGGAUGAGCCUGCACUUGAUUAGUUUGUUGGUGGGGUAAUGGCCUACCAAGACUGUGAUCAAUAGCUGAUUUGAGAGGAUGAUCAGCCACAUUGGGACUGAGACACGGCCCAAACUCCUACGGGAGGCAGCAGUGGGGAAUCUUGCACAAUGGAGGAAACUCUGAUGCAGCGAUGCCGCGUGAGUGAAGAAGGCCCUUGGGUUGUAAAGCUCUUUCGUCGGGGAAGAAAAUGACUGUACCCGAAUAAGAAGGUCCGGCUAACUUCGUGCCAGCAGCCGCGGUAAUACGAAGGGACCUAGCGUAGUUCGGAAUUACUGGGCUUAAAGAGUUCGUAGGUGGUUGGAAUAGUUGGUGGUGAAAUCCCAGAGCUUAACUCUGGAACUGCCAUCAAAACUUUUCAGCUAGAGUAUGAUAGAGGAAAGCAGAAUUUCUAGUGUAGAGGUGAAAUUCGUAGAUAUUAGAAAGAAUACCAAUUGCGAAGGCAGCUUUCUGGAUCAUUACUGACACUGAGGAACGAAAGCAUGGGUAGCGAAGAGGAUUAGAUACCCUCGUAGUCCAUGCCGUAAACGAUGUGUGUUAGACGUUGGAAAUUUAUUUUCAGUGUCGCAGCGAAAGCGAUAAACACACCGCCUGGGGAGUACGACC
Molecule: ribosomal RNA, 801 nt
Filed under: uncultured Pelagibacteraceae bacterium
Lineage: Bacteria; Pseudomonadati; Pseudomonadota; Alphaproteobacteria; Candidatus Pelagibacterales; Candidatus Pelagibacteraceae
Description: bacterial SSU rRNA
Rfam family: Bacterial small subunit ribosomal RNA
Source: RNAcentral